GACGAACGCUGGCGGCGUGCUUAACACAUGCAAGUCGAACGGAAAGGCCCUGCUUUUGUGGGGUGCUCGAGUGGCGAACGGGUGAGUAACACGUGAGUAACCUGCCCUUGACUUUGGGAUAACUUCAGGAAACUGGGGCUAAUACCGGAUAGGAGCUCCUGCUGCAUGGUGGGGGUUGGAAAGUUUCGGCGGUUGGGGAUGGACUCGCGGCUUAUCAGCUUGUUGGUGGGGUAGUGGCUUACCAAGGCUUUGACGGGUAGCCGGCCUGAGAGGGUGACCGGCCACAUUGGGACUGAGAUACGGCCCAGAGUCCUACGGGAGGCAGCAGUGGGGAAUAUUGCACAAUGGGCGGAAGCCUGAUGCAGCAACGCCGCGUGCGGGAUGACGGCCUUCGGGGUGUAAACCGCGUUCGCCUGUGACGAAGCGUGAGUGACGGUAAUGGGUAAAGAAGCACCGGCUAACUACGUG
RNAcentral lists this ribosomal RNA (468 nucleotides) under uncultured bacterium. RNAcentral's name for it is "partial 16S ribosomal RNA". It matches the Rfam family "Bacterial small subunit ribosomal RNA", at positions 28 to 507 of the family's 1533-position model. The record is from RNAcentral.